RNAcentral lists this ribosomal RNA (253 nucleotides) under uncultured bacterium. RNAcentral describes it as "partial 16S ribosomal RNA". It matches the Rfam family "Bacterial small subunit ribosomal RNA", at positions 524 to 776 of the family's 1533-position model. The record is from RNAcentral.
UACGAAGGGGGCUAGCGUUGUUCGGAAUUACUGGGCGUAAAGCGCACGUAGGCGGAUCGGUCAGUUAGGGGUGAAAUCCCGGGGCUCAACCCCGGAACUGCCUCUAAUACUGCCGAUCUCGAGUUCGAGAGAGGUGAGUGGAAUUCCGAGUGUAGAGGUGAAAUUCGUAGAUAUUCGGAGGAACACCAGUGGCGAAGGCGGCUCACUGGCUCGAUACUGACGCUGAGGUGCGAAAGCGUGGGGAGCAAACAGG